AGUGGCGGACGGGUGAGUAACGCGUGGGUAACCUGCCUCAUACAGGGGAGUAACAGUUAGAAAUGACUGCUAAUACCGCAUAAGACCACAGCACCGCAUGGUGCAGGGGUAAAAACUCCGGUGGUGUGAGAUGGACCCGCGUCUGAUUAGGUAGUUGGUGGGGUAACGGCCUACCAAGCCGACGAUCAGUAGCCGACCUGAGAGGGUGACCGGCCACAUUGGGACUGAGACACGGCCCAA
RNAcentral lists this ribosomal RNA (240 nucleotides) under uncultured bacterium. RNAcentral's name for it is "partial 16S ribosomal RNA". It matches the Rfam family "Bacterial small subunit ribosomal RNA", at positions 94 to 334 of the family's 1533-position model. The record is from RNAcentral.